Molecule: long non-coding RNA, 534 nt
Organism: Bos taurus (domestic cattle)
Lineage: Eukaryota; Metazoa; Chordata; Mammalia; Artiodactyla; Bovidae
Source: Ensembl
AAUCUAGAAUAUAAAAAUUUCUUAUACAAUUCAAUGAGAGAAAGACAACUUAAUCUGAAAAUGAGCAAAAUACUCAGUCUACUUACAAGAGACAGUAUCUCCAAAUGGUCAGUAAACAUUUAAAAAGCUGUUCAACCUCAUCAGUCACCAAGAAAUGCAAACAGAGGGUCUUCCCAGUUGAUGAACCCACCCUGAAUCCUGAGAGCAAGAGAGCCCUUUUAAUGAGGUCCAGUGGUUCUGGGACUUGGGCUUAUAUCAGAAUCACCUGCAGAUCUCCAAGACCUGAAAGAGGACUUCUCAGAAUCCUGACUCUGAAUUUGGUCUCAACAUCUGUUUUCUGCAGCUUCUCUCAAGCUCAGAGUUUUCUUAUGCCAGCCUCAAACUGUGCAGAUUCUGACCCUGGGACUUGUUCUUCCCUGUAAGAGCAUCCCUUUGAGCCUGAGGUGGUGAUUUUAAUUGACUUCCUCCCCUCUGUGGAAAAACAAGCUUUGUCUCUGCAGUUAAGUGACAUAAUAAAUGUUUUUUUAUUGUGUA